UAACACAUGCAAGUCAAACGGCCUUCGGGCAGUGGCAAACGGGUGAGUAACGCGUUGGUAUCUACCUCUAUCUCGGGUAUAAUUCGCCGAAAGGCGGACUAAUCCCCGAUAGUCUCGCAAGAGUAAAGAUUCGUCGGAUAGAGAGGAACCUGCGUCCUAUCAGCUUGUUGGUGAGGUAAUGGCUCACCAAGGCAAUGACGGGUAGCUGGUCUGAGAGGAUGAUCAGCCACAAUGGGACUGAGAUACGGCCCAUACUCCUACGGGAGGCAGCAGUGAGGAAUUUUGCGCAAUGGACGAAAGUCUGACGCAGCAACGCCGCGUGAAGGAUGAAGUAUCUAGGUAUGUAAACUUCUUUUUAAGGGGACGAAGUAUGACGGUACCCUUAGAAUAAGCAUCGGCUAACUACGUGCCAGCAGCCGCGGUAAUACGUAGGAUGCGAGCGUUAUCCGGAUUUAUUGGGCGUAAAGCGUCUGUAGGCGGUUUGUUAAGUUGGAGAUGAAAUACUCAGGCUCAACUUGAGGAACGUUUCCAAAACUAACAGACUAGAGGAAGGAAGAGGCUAGCGGAACUUGUGGUGUAGGGGUAAAAUCCGUAGAUAUCACAGGGAACGCCAAAUGCGAAAGCAGCUUGCUGGUCCUUUUCUGACGCUCAGAGACGAAAGCGUGGGUAGCGAACGGGAUUAGAUACCCCGGUAGUCCACGCCGUAAACGAUGUCUACUAGGUAUCGGCUGUAUCGACCCAGCCCGUGCCGAAGCUAACGCGUUAAGUAGACCGCCUGGGGAGUACGGUCGCAAGACUAAAACUCAAAGGAAUUGACGGGGGCUCGCACAAGCGGUGGAGCAUGUGGUUUAAUUCGACGGUACGCGAGGAACCUUACCAAGGCUUGACAUCCUCGGAAUCCGUGAGAAAUCAUGGAGUGCCUUUUAGGAAUCGAGAGACAGGUGCUGCAUGGCUGUCGUCAGCUCGUGCUGUGAAGUGUCGGGUUAAGUCCCUUAACGAGCGCAACCCCUGUUGUAUGUUGUAUUUUCGUACAAGACUGCCCCGGUGACGGGGAGGAAGGUGGGGAUGACGUCUAGUCAGCAUGGCCCUUAUGCCUUGGGCGACACACAUGCUACAAUGGCCGGUACAACGGGUCGCGAAGCCGCAAGGUGGAGCUAAUCCCACAAAACCGGUCCAAGUUCGGAUUGAAGGCUGAAACUCGCCUUCAUGAAGCCGGAAUCGCUAGUAAACGCAUAUCAGCCACGGUGCGUUGAAUACGUUCUCGAGCCUUGUACACACCGCCCGUCACACCACGAAAGUUAGUAGUACCUGAAGUC
This 1316-nucleotide ribosomal RNA is filed under the name uncultured bacterium. RNAcentral describes it as "16S ribosomal RNA". It matches the Rfam family "Bacterial small subunit ribosomal RNA". The record is from RNAcentral.